AACGAACGCUGGCGGCAUGCCUAACACAUGCAAGUCGAACGAGACCUUCGGGUCUAGUGGCGCACGGGUGCGUAACGCGUGGGAACCUGCCUUUAGGUUCGGAAUAACUCAGAGAAAUUUGAGCUAAUACCGGAUGAUGUCUUCGGACCAAAGAUUUAUCGCCUUUAGAUGGGCCCGCGUUGGAUUAGCUAGUUGGUGGGGUAAAGGCCUACCAAGGCGACGAUCCAUAGCUGGUCUGAGAGGAUGAUCAGCCACACUGGGACUGAGACACGGCCCAGACUCCUACGGGAGGCAGCAGUGGGGAAUAUUGGACAAUGGGCGAAAGCCUGAUCCAGCAAUGCCGCGUGAGUGAUGAAGGCCUUAGGGUAGUAAAGCUCUUUUACCCGAGAUGAUAAUGACAGUAUCGGGAGAAUAAGCUCCGGCUAACUCCGUG
Molecule: ribosomal RNA, 433 nt
Filed under: uncultured bacterium
Lineage: Bacteria
Description: partial 16S ribosomal RNA
Rfam family: Bacterial small subunit ribosomal RNA
Source: RNAcentral